RNAcentral lists this long non-coding RNA (1643 nucleotides) under Calidris pugnax (ruff). RNAcentral describes it as "lncRNA (ENSCPUG00000012922.1)". The record is from RNAcentral. Lineage: Eukaryota; Metazoa; Chordata; Aves; Charadriiformes; Scolopacidae.
CAGCAUCACGGGUGUCACUAUCAGUACUGGUGUCAGUAUCACCAGUGUCACCACUGGUACUGGUGUUGGCAUCACCGGUGUCACACCAACACCGGUGUCAGCGUCUCCGGUGUCACACCGGUCCCAGUUCCAGCCUCACCAGUGUCACCAUUGUCUGAGGUGUCAGCAUCACCAGUGUCACACCAACCCUGGUGUCAGCGUCUCCCGUGUCACACCGGUCCUGGUUCCAGUGUCACCAAUGUCCCAGUUCCAGCCUCACCAGUGUCACCAUCCUUCAAGGUGUCAGCAUCACCAUCCUCUAAGGUGUCACCAUCACCGGUGUCACACCAACCCUGGUGUCAGCAUCUCCCGUGUCACACCGGUCCUGGUUCCAGUGUCACCAAUGUCCCCGGUGUCAGCCUCACUGGUGUCACCAUCCUCCGAGGUGUCAGCAUCACCACUGUCCCUGGUCAGCCUCACUGGUGUCACACCAACCCUGGUGUCAGCGUGUCCAGUGUCACAUCAGUCCCAGUUCCAGCCUCAACAGUGUCACCAUCGCCCGAGGUGUCAGCAUCACCGGUGUCACACCAACCCUGUUGUCAGCGUCUCCCGUGUCACACCGGUCCUGGUUCCAAUGUCACCAAUGUCCCCGGUGUCAGCCUCACUGGUGUCACCAUUGUCCGAGGUGUCAGCAUCACCAUUGUCCAAGGAGUCAGCAUCACCAGUGUCACACCAACACUGGUGUCAGCGUCUCUGGUGUCACACCGGUUCCGGUUCCAGUGUCACCAUCCUCCGAGGUGUCAGCCUCACUGGUGUCACCACUGUCUGAGGUGUCAGCAUCACCGGUGUCACCAUUGUCCGAGGUGUCAGCAUCACCAGUGUCACACCAACCCCGGUGUCAGCGUCUCUGGUGUCACACCGGUCCCGGUUCCAGUGUCACCAUCCUCCAAGGUGUCAGCAUCACUGGUGUCACCAUCGUCCGAGGUGUCAGCAUCACUGGUGUCACACCAACACCGGUGUCAGCCUCACCAGUGUCACCAUUGUCCGAGGUGUCAGCGUCACCAAUGUCCCUGGUGUCAGCGUCUCUGGUGUCACACCGGUCCCAGUUCCAGUGUCACCAUCCUUUGAGGUGUCAGCCUCACCAGUGUCACCAUCCUCCGAGGUGUCAGCGUCACCAAUGUCCCUGGUGUCAGCCUCACCGGUGUCACACCAACCCCGGUGUCAGCGUCUCCGGUGUCACACCGGUCCCAGUUCCAGCCUCACCAGUGUCACCAUUGUCUGAGGUGUCAGCAUCACCAGUGUCACACCAACCCUGGUGUCAGCAUCUCCCGUGUCACACCGGUCCUGGUUCCAGUGUCACCAAUGUCCCAGUUCCAGCCUCACCAGUGUCACCAUCCUUUGAGGUGUCAGCAUCACCAGUGUCACCAUCGUCCAAGGUGUCAGCGUCACCGGUGUCACACCAACCCCGGUGUCAGUGUCUCUGGUGUCACACCGGUCCCAGUGUCACACCAGCCCCGGUGUCAGCCUCACCGGUGUCACACCAACCCCGGUGUCAGCGCCUCUGGUGUCACACCAGCCCCGGUGUCAGCCUCACCGAUGUCACACCAACCCCGGUGUCAGCGUCUCUGGUGUCACCAUCCUCCAAGGUGUCAGCCUCACCAGUG